RNAcentral lists this ribosomal RNA (552 nucleotides) under Morchella purpurascens. Its description in RNAcentral is "partial large subunit ribosomal RNA". It matches the Rfam family "Eukaryotic large subunit ribosomal RNA", at positions 85 to 647 of the family's 3401-position model. Lineage: Eukaryota; Fungi; Ascomycota; Pezizomycetes; Pezizales; Morchellaceae. RNAcentral also lists the same sequence under 1 other name. The record is from RNAcentral.
AACGGCGAGUGAAGCGGCAAAAGCUCAAAUUUUAAAGCUGACAUCUUCGGUGUCCGCGUUGUAAUUUUGUGAGGCAUCUCCGGGUAGGGCGCUGGCCUAAGUUCCUUGGAACAGGACGUCACAGAGGGUGAGAAUCCCGUGCUUGGCUGGCUGUCCCCGUCCAUGUGAGGUGUCUUCGACGAGUCGAGUUGUUUGGGAAUGCAGCUCAAAAUGGGUGGUAAAUUUCAUCUAAAGCUAAAUAUUGGUGGGAGACCGAUAGCGCACAAGUAGAGUGAUCGAAAGAUGAAAAGCACUUUGAAAAUAGAGUUAAAAAGUACGUGAAAUUGUUGAAAGGGAAGCGCUUGAGACCAGACUUCGGUAAGGGGUGAUCAGCCGUCCUUUUGGGCGGUGCACUUGCCCCCCUCCGGGCCAGCAUCGGUUGAGGCGGCGGGAUAAAGGUCCCGGGAAUGUGGCUCCUUCACGGGAGUGUUAUAGCCCGGGUGAAUGCCGCCAGCUUCGACCGAGGACCGCACCCGCAAGGGUUAGGAUGCUUGGCAUAAUGGUCUUCAGCGA